AGUGAACGCUGGCGGUAGGCCUAACACAUGCAAGUCGAACGGCAGCACAGUAAGAGCUUGCUCUUACGGGUGGCGAGUGGCGGACGGGUGAGGAAUACAUCGGAAUCUACUUUUUCGUGGGGGAUAACGUAGGGAAACUUACGCUAAUACCGCAUACCACCUACGGGUGAAAGCAGGGGAUCUUCGGACCUUGCGCGAUUGAAUGAGCCGAUGUCGGAUUAGCUAGUUGGCGGGGUAAAGGCCCACCAAGUCGACGAUCCGUAGCUGGUGUGAGAGGAUGAUCAGCCACACUGGAACUGGGACACGGUCCAGACUCCUACGGGAGGCAGCAGUGUGGAAUAUUGGACGAUGGGCGCAAGCCUGAUACAGCCAUACCGCGUGAGUGAAGAAGGCCUUCGGGUUGUAAAGCCCUUUUGUUGGGAAAGAAAAGCGGCAGGUUAAUACCCCGCUGUUCUGACGGUACCCAAAGAAUAAGCACCGGCUAACUUCGUG
Molecule: ribosomal RNA, 492 nt
Filed under: uncultured bacterium
Lineage: Bacteria
Description: partial 16S ribosomal RNA
Rfam family: Bacterial small subunit ribosomal RNA
Source: RNAcentral